RNAcentral lists this ribosomal RNA (465 nucleotides) under uncultured bacterium. Its description in RNAcentral is "partial 16S ribosomal RNA". It matches the Rfam family "Bacterial small subunit ribosomal RNA", at positions 28 to 507 of the family's 1533-position model. The record is from RNAcentral.
GACGAACGCUGGCGGCGUGCUUAACACAUGCAAGUCGAACGGAAAGGCCCCUUUGGGGGUACUCGAGUGGCGAACGGGUGAGUAACACGUGAGUAACCUGCCCUCGACUUCGGGAUAACUUCAGGAAACUGGGGCUAAUACCGGAUAGGAAUCCUUGCUGCAUGGUGGGGGUUGGAAAGCUUCGGCGGUUUUGGAUGGACUCGCGGCUUAUCAGCUUGUUGGUGGGGUAGUGGCUUACCAAGGCUUUGACGGGUAGCCGGCCUGAGAGGGCGACCGGCCACAUUGGGACUGAGAUACGGCCCAGACUCCUACGGGAGGCAGCAGUGGGGAAUAUUGCACAAUGGGCGGAAGCCUGAUGCAGCAACGCCGCGUGCGGGAUGACGGCCUUCGGGUUGUAAACCGCUUUCAGCAGGGGCGAAGCUUGUGGUGACGGUACCUGCAGAAGAAGCACCGGCUAACUACGUG